CUGCUGACUCUAACGAGUACGCACUCGCUGCCUAACUAACAGCGACGCCGGCCUUGGGCUCUGCCUGCGGCCUGGGGAUCCGGCGUCAUGAAGCAGGCUCACCGCUCGGGGCGCGCUCGGCGCGCCGAGCGGGACAUUUCUCCGAGCUAGGCACCGGCCGUUGCUGUUCGCGGGCCGGCAGGUGCCGAAACCUCAACCGCGAGCUACGCUCGUAGAAGGCCUGCCCAGAGGUCGGAGGACCCGGGUUCGAUUCCCGGCAGCUCCACUA
This 268-nucleotide transfer-messenger RNA is filed under the name Actinomycetota bacterium. Its description in RNAcentral is "partial transfer-messenger RNA". It matches the Rfam family "transfer-messenger RNA", at positions 91 to 374 of the family's 374-position model. Rfam says of the family: Bacterial tmRNA, also known as 10Sa RNA or SsrA, is named for its dual tRNA and mRNA-like properties. Its role is to liberate the mRNA from a stalled ribosome. Lineage: Bacteria; Bacillati; Actinomycetota. The record is from RNAcentral.